UAUUGGUCAAUGGGCGGAAGCCUGAACCAGCCAAGUCGCGUGAGGGAUUAAGGCCCUGCGGGUCGUAAACCUCUUUUGCCGGGGAGCAGAGGUCCGGACGUGUCCGGGCCGGGAGAGUACCCGGAGAAAAAGCAUCGGCUAACUCCGUGCCAGCAGCCGCGGUAAUACGGAGGAUGCGAGCGUUAUCCGGAUUUAUUGGGUUUAAAGGGUGCGUAGGCGGGCAUUUAAGCCGGCGGUCAAAUGUCGGGGCUCAACCCCGGCCGGCCGUUGAAACUGGUUUUCUAGAGUUGGAGAGAAGUAUGCGGAAUUCGUGGUGUAGCGGUGAAAUGCAUAGAUAUCACGAAGAACUCCGAUUGCGAAGGCAGCAUACCGGCUCCAUACUGACGCUGAGGCACGAAAGCGUGGGGAUCG
RNAcentral lists this ribosomal RNA (411 nucleotides) under uncultured bacterium. RNAcentral describes it as "bacterial SSU rRNA". It matches the Rfam family "Bacterial small subunit ribosomal RNA", at positions 362 to 770 of the family's 1533-position model. The record is from RNAcentral.